UUAAACUUUAAUUCCAUAACAAGAAAUAGGGUGAGAGGUUCUUACUCGAAUUGGUAUACAAAUACCUCUACUGGCGGUCCCCAAGUUCCCUGAAUUUUUCUUUAGGGAUUAGAACACGCAUCAAGUACCUAGAAAUACUCCCAAAAAAUCCAAAAUCAGUGUUAGAAACCCUUUUUGGUCAAUUUCAAAAUUCCAGCACGGCGGCUCUGCCGUGCUCCAGCGACGGCACCGCCGCCCACGGUAGU
RNAcentral lists this long non-coding RNA (245 nucleotides) under Carica papaya (papaya). RNAcentral describes it as "long non-coding RNA (CPAP_LNC012887)". The record is from RNAcentral. Lineage: Eukaryota; Viridiplantae; Streptophyta; Magnoliopsida; Brassicales; Caricaceae.